This is a long non-coding RNA of Aethina tumida (small hive beetle), 1009 nucleotides long. RefSeq lists it as uncharacterized. Lineage: Eukaryota; Metazoa; Arthropoda; Insecta; Coleoptera; Nitidulidae. The record is from RefSeq and is a predicted model, not a curated record. The transcript has 2 exons.
AUCCGUAGCCGAUCCAUCGGCAAUGUUCUUGUGCAAUUUCGCACCAUUCGAAGGUGCCAAACCGCAGAUUGUGAAAUUCUUUUUUAACAGACCAUGUCCGCGGCAUCAAGGUGCAGACUUUGACAAAGGUUUCUAGAGACUGGACAUGUGCAAGAUCGGCCUAGAGAAAGUUGACCAAGAGUUACAUCUGACCGGGAAGACGGAUUAUUAAUCAGAGAAGCACGAGCGGACCCAAUAAGAAACUGCCCACUUGUCCGACAAGACCUGAUUUUAGCUACUACAUGCCAUAUAAGCCCAAAAGGACAGUUUUAUAUCGGUUAAAUGACGCGGGACUCCGUUGCAGGAGACCCAUAAGGCGACUACUUCUCCAGUCUCCCAUCGUGCAGCGAUAUUAGCUUGGUAUCAGGAAAGAGAAUUGUGUCAUGGAGAGUGGAAUAAUGGAUAUUUACAGAUGAAAGCAGAUUUGAGAUAGCUCCAAGUCGUUAUGUGCAGGAAGUUCACUCAUACUAAAGUGGAUCCAUAAUGAUCGGGAUAGUAUUAUUCUAAGAGGUAGAACGGAGCUCUACAUCUGCGACCGUAGUAUGACCGGUGAAAUUAUGCAACACACAUUACCGAUUGACUUUUGAACCAAAUUUUCAAUUUUUAGACGACAACGUUAGUCCGCACAGAGCUGGGUUUGUCUUUAACGUCUUAGAAAAUGCCCAAAUUAAACGUCUGCUCUUACCAACCUUGUUACCUGAUCUGAAUUGCAUAAAACAUUGAGAUAUGCUUGGAAGAUCAUUAAUUGCAGCUCACCAAUCCCUUAAUCAUAUUUCCAGAGAAUUAAGACAACUUCUUCCAGAAUUAUGAAAUACUUUGGAGUAAAAUCAUCUGGAUGAUUUGAUAAGAAAGGGUACAAGCUAUAAUAAGAGGCAGAUGCAGAAUUACUCGAAAUGGUGUAUUUUACAUUUUAUAAGUGGGAACAAAAUUUCUUAUUUAUUCUGUAAAAUAUAUAUUAAGUUGCCUUUGG